UACGAAGGGGGCUAGCGUUGUUCGGAAUCACUGGGCGUAAAGGGCGCGUAGGCGGCCGAUCAAGUCGGGGGUGAAAGCCUGUGGCUCAACCACAGAAUGGCCUUCGAUACUGUUUGGCUUGAGACCGGAAGAGGUCAGUGGAACUGCGAGUGUAGAGGUGAAAUUCGUAGAUAUUCGCAAGAACACCAGUGGCGAAGGCGGCUGACUGGUCCGGUUCUGACGCUGAGGCGCGAAAGCGUGGGGAGCAAACAGGAUUAGAUACCCCGGUAGUCC
Molecule: ribosomal RNA, 273 nt
Filed under: uncultured bacterium
Lineage: Bacteria
Description: partial 16S ribosomal RNA
Rfam family: Bacterial small subunit ribosomal RNA
Source: RNAcentral